Molecule: ribosomal RNA, 399 nt
Filed under: uncultured bacterium
Lineage: Bacteria
Description: partial 16S ribosomal RNA
Rfam family: Bacterial small subunit ribosomal RNA
Source: RNAcentral
AAUAUUGCACAAUGGAGGGAACUCUGAUGCAGCAACGCCGCGUGAGUGAAGAAGGUUUGCGGAUCGUAAAACACUGUCAUUGGGGAAGAAUAAAUGACGGUACCCCAUGAGGAAGCGCCGGCUAACUACGGACAAGCAGCCGCGGUAAUACGUAGGGGGAGAGCGUUGUCCGGAAUUACUGGGCGUAAAGGGUACGUAGGCGGCUAUAUAAGUCAGGUGUGAAAUACCAGUGCUUAACACUGGAAUUGCAUUUGAAACUGUAUAGCUUGAGUGCAGGAGAGGAAAGUGGAAUUCCUAGUGGAGCGGUGAAAUGCGUAGAGAUUAGGAGGAACACCAGUGGCGAAGGCGACUUUCUGGACUGUAACUGACGCUGAGGUACGAAAGCGUGGGUAGCGAACA